Molecule: ribosomal RNA, 399 nt
Filed under: uncultured Hypotrichia
Lineage: Eukaryota; Ciliophora; Spirotrichea
Description: partial small subunit ribosomal RNA
Rfam family: Eukaryotic small subunit ribosomal RNA
Source: RNAcentral
GCUUGUCUCAAAGAUUAAGCCAUGCAUGUCUAAGUAUAAGUAUUAUACAGCGAAACUGCGAAUGGCUCAUUAAAACAGUUAUGGUUUAUUUGAUAAUCGAAUUUUACAUGGAUAACCGUGGUAAUUCUAGAGCUAAUACAUGCUGGUGUGCCUGACUUUUCGGAAGGGCGGUAUUUAUUAGAUAACGAACCAAUAUUCCUCGUGUCUAUUGUGAUGACUCAUAAUAACUGAUCGAAUCGCAUGGGCCUUGCCCGCGAUACAUCAUUCAAGUUUCUGCCCCAUCAGCUUUCGAUGGUAGUGUAUUGGACUACCAUGGCUUUAACGGGUAACGGAGGAUUAGGGUUCGAUUCCGGAGAGGGAGCCUGAGAAACGGCUACCACAUCUAAGGAAGGCAGCAGG